AGUGGUCAGGGUGCCGUGUCCUUGUUUCCUUAACCCUGCAAUGUGAAAGAGGCACAAUGUCAAGUCAGUUUAUAGAAUAGGGAGUCACUGAUUGGCUGAGAGCUUCAGCUGACCUCUCUCAGCCAAUCAUUUCCCCUCUUGCCCAGUGGCACUCUGUGCUUCCUGAAUCUGAAAUUCCAGGAGCCAGAAACCAUUUGGGGGGGGAGUGGACAUCACUGCUGGAGGC
Non-coding RNA from Pelobates cultripes (western spadefoot toad), 226 nucleotides. The record is from the annotation of a GenBank genome assembly. NCBI's taxonomy places the organism in Eukaryota, Metazoa, Chordata, Amphibia, Anura, Pelobatidae.